Non-coding RNA from Camellia sinensis, 259 nucleotides. The record is from RefSeq and is a predicted model, not a curated record. Lineage: Eukaryota; Viridiplantae; Streptophyta; Magnoliopsida; Ericales; Theaceae.
UCGAUGACUUCUUGAGGAAUGUCGUGAUCUAGAGAUUGCUUUCACCAUGUCUCUCUUACAACUAAUUGGUGCUAGAGAGGGUUUUAGCUUUAGUUUUAAGAUUAUGUGAGGUCGACCUAUCAGUGUCUUUGAUGAUCUUGGGUCCAGAGCUCUUCCAACUUUCCUCAAUUCCACCAUGAAUGCUAUUGAGGGAAUCAUUGGAAUGGUUGGGCUUUCUUGAUCUAAGAAAAGGGUUAUCAAGAUACUUCACGAUGUCAAU